RNAcentral lists this transfer RNA (71 nucleotides) under Cavia porcellus (domestic guinea pig). It matches the Rfam family "tRNA". From Rfam's summary of the family: Transfer RNA (tRNA) molecules are approximately 80 nucleotides in length. Their secondary structure includes four short double-helical elements and three loops (D, anti-codon, and T loops). Lineage: Eukaryota; Metazoa; Chordata; Mammalia; Rodentia; Caviidae. The record is from Rfam by way of RNAcentral.
AGAGGUAUAGCUCAGUGGUAGAGCACUUGCCUGGCAUGUAUGUGGCCUUAAUGCAAUCCCUAAUACCACUG